RNAcentral lists this transfer RNA (67 nucleotides) under Ips calligraphus. Its description in RNAcentral is "tRNA-Leu". The record is from RNAcentral. Lineage: Eukaryota; Metazoa; Arthropoda; Insecta; Coleoptera; Curculionidae.
UCUAUUAUGGCAGAUUAGUGCAAUGGAUUUAAGAUCCAAAUAUAAAGAAAAUUUUCUUUUUUUAGAA